RNAcentral lists this ribosomal RNA (537 nucleotides) under uncultured bacterium. RNAcentral's name for it is "bacterial SSU rRNA". It matches the Rfam family "Bacterial small subunit ribosomal RNA", at positions 8 to 526 of the family's 1533-position model. The record is from RNAcentral.
AGAGUUUGAUCAUGGCUCAGAAUCAACGCUGGCGGCGUGCCUAACACAUGCAAGUCGAACGCGAAAACCCCGCAAGGGGUUAGUAGAGUGGCGAACGGGUGAGUAACACGUGGGUGACCUACCUUCGAAUGGGGGAUAACGUCCCGAAAGGGACGCUAAUACCGCAUAACAUCCUGCUUUUGAACAGGUGGAGAUCAAAGCCGGGGAUCGCAAGACCUGGCGUUUGAAGAGGGGCCCGCGUCUGAUUAGCUAGUUGGUGAGGUAACGGCUCACCAAGGCGACGAUCAGUAUCCGGCCUGAGAGGGCGGACGGACACACUGGGACUGAGACACGGCCCAGACUCCUACGGGAGGCAGCAGUGGGGAAUUGUUCGCAAUGGGCGCAAGCCUGACGACGCAACGCCGCGUGGAGGAUGAAGGUCUUCGGAUUGUAAACUCCUGUUGCCCGGGACGAAAAGCUUCGAUCUAACACGUCGAGGUCUGACGGUACCGGGUGAGGAAGCCCCGGCUAACUCUGCGCCAGCCGCCGCGGUAAUAC